GCCCAGGUGGCGGAAUGGUAGACGCGCUAGCUUGAGGGGCUAGUGGGAAAUAUAUUCCCGUGGAAGUUCGAGUCUUCUCCUGGGCACCA
Molecule: transfer RNA, 89 nt
Filed under: Candidatus Peregrinibacteria bacterium CG10_big_fil_rev_8_21_14_0_10_49_10
Lineage: Bacteria; Candidatus Peregrinibacteriota
Description: tRNA-Leu
Rfam family: tRNA
About the family: Transfer RNA (tRNA) molecules are approximately 80 nucleotides in length. Their secondary structure includes four short double-helical elements and three loops (D, anti-codon, and T loops). Further hydrogen bonds mediate the characteristic L-shaped molecular structure. tRNAs have two regions of fundamental functional importance: the anti-codon, which is responsible for specific mRNA codon recognition, and the 3' end, to which the tRNAs corresponding amino acid is attached (by aminoacyl-tRNA synthetases). tRNAs cope with the degeneracy of the genetic code in two manners: having more than one tRNA (with a specific anti-codon) for a particular amino acid; and 'wobble' base-pairing, i.e. permitting non-standard base-pairing at the 3rd anti-codon position.
Source: RNAcentral